AACCUCUACACUGCACGAAAGUGUGAUAGGGGAAUUCCAAGUGCUUACGCAUUGCGUAAGCUUUUGCCAAGAGUAAAGUUCUUGGCGAAUAAGUGGUGGGCAAGACUGGUGCCAGCCGCCGCGGUAACACCAGCGCCACGAGUGGGGAUCGCAGUUAUUGGGCCUAAAGCGUUCGUAGCCGGCCCGCUAAAUCUUUCGUGAAACUGUCAGGCUUAACCUGACAACGUGCGGAAGAAACUGGCGGGCUAGGGACCGGGAGGAGUCAGAGGUAUGCGUGGGGGAGCAGUAAAAUGCUAUAAUCCUACGUAGACCACCGGUGGCGAAGGCGUCUGACCAGCACGGUUCCGACGGUGAGGAACGAAAGCCAGGGGAGCGAUCCGG
Molecule: ribosomal RNA, 381 nt
Filed under: uncultured archaeon
Lineage: Archaea
Description: bacterial SSU rRNA
Rfam family: Archaeal small subunit ribosomal RNA
Source: RNAcentral